GAAAGCUGUAGAGAAGAAGAUGGGACAAAGGUUUCAAAACCAGGUGUAUAGGCAUGGGAAUCUAAGUCUUCCAAGCACUUCCAGACAAAUCAGUUUCAGAAUUGCGAAAGAACCUUUGCUUUAUGAUAUUGAAAAGAGAGAAAAAAUAAAGAUAAAACCAAACAAUAAAGUCCUCAAGAGAAUUACCCACUUUCCCUACCAUCUUUUCUUUUUCUUUCUCUUCAACCAAACAGCUUCACUCCUACUCUUCUUUCUCAAGUGUCACCACAAAAAACCCGGUCAUUUAGAGACAAAAGUAGGCUAAGAAAGUGGCCUUUCAGGUAGAAAAAUUAUAUGCCUUGAACUUGUGUUCAUAGCUAUAUGCCAAAUUGACAACUCAAAAGCAAAGGGAAGUUAUGAGGGGCAAAGUCACCUUGAAGCCAACUUUAUUAUGACCGAUUACGAGUUUAUUCAAGAUGUCACCCUCCUCUUUCUUUCUUUUUAAUAACAUAUUUCCUUUUCUUCAGUAUAUAUACAACUCCUUGCCUCCUUUUUCUAAUGCAAUCUUCUUAACCUCAACAGUUUUUGUACAUUUUCUCCAACACUUCUCAAGUAUGUGUGUGUAUUCAUGCUUGAGAAUGCUUGCCAUGUGGUACUUCUUCACUGCCUUAGACACCAUUGUCCAAGCAUUAUCAUCAUUAUUCGGUUAUAGACACUAAAAAGUAACUGGACGUUAUACAUUCAGUGUGCCUCAACAUAUAUAUAUGUAUAUUAGGCAUCCAUUCAUUUUCAUAUUCAUAUAUCAUCAUGCUUGCAUUAUAUUAAUUAAAUGCAUAUUUUGCAUGCCUGGCUCCCUGUAUGCCAUUUGCAAAGCUCAUCAAGAGUCUGGUGGCCUUCGCGUAUGGCGUGCGAGGAGCCAUGCAUGCAUUCUGAUGUCUUAAUCAGGGGAAAAGAAAAAGAGUUAGGAUUUCCAUGACAAAAUAAGCUUAGGGAUACAGAAAAGGAGGACUCUGAUGUUUCACUCUAUUUUCCUCAUUUCCUAGGGAGAAUUCAACUACCAAACUGUAAUAUGCUUUUUAUUUAUAUAUGAAAAGAAUGAAAAGUUGUAGUGGGAAAAUGCUAUUCUUCUCUCUCUAUCUUUUUUCUUUGUACAACAUUUUCAGGACCGUAUAGGAACUGUUCCAAUGUUAUGGAGAAACAGUGAUUAGUUCUCCCAAAAGAACAAUUGAGGCAGCAAGUCAAGAACAAGAGCUCAGGGAGCUUGGGGUGCUUUCCAUGUUUGAGGCUUUAGAGUAGAGGCUCUGAAACGUUGUCUUUUGUCCCAACUUGAUGUUCAUCAGAUCAGCAACAAGACCAGGUUGUGAAAUCUGAACUCCUUCUAUGUCUAUCUCAUUAGUCAACAUUUUCAGGGCUGUUGACAUUUCUGGUCGGAACCUGGCUGUUUCUUGAACGCAAAGGAGACCCACCUUGAUGUAUCGAACCGCAUCUGCUUCAGGGCAGUUCAUACCUAGUACAGGAUCCACCAAUUGCAGAAGCCUGUUAGCCCUGUAUAGUUCCCAUGCCUGCAUGUCUCACACACAAUAUGAAGUCAACAAGUUACUAAUUUACUAAGAGAAUUUAUUUUCCGAAAACGAAUCGGGAAGUUAGAUUCACAAGUUACUUUGAAUAACAUCCAUUACCUUUUGAACCA
Gossypium raimondii (Peruvian cotton) is the source of this 1669-nucleotide long non-coding RNA. RefSeq lists it as uncharacterized. The transcript is spliced from 2 exons. The record is from RefSeq and is a predicted model, not a curated record. NCBI's taxonomy places the organism in Eukaryota, Viridiplantae, Streptophyta, Magnoliopsida, Malvales, Malvaceae.